RNAcentral lists this ribosomal RNA (216 nucleotides) under Glomeromycotina sp. RNAcentral describes it as "partial small subunit ribosomal RNA". The stretch from base 40 to 216 matches the Rfam family "Eukaryotic small subunit ribosomal RNA", at positions 686 to 864 of the family's 1831-position model. Lineage: Eukaryota; Fungi; Glomeromycota. The record is from RNAcentral.
GGGUCAGUAGGUUGGUCGUGCCACCGGUACGUACUGGUCUCACUGAUUCCUCCUUCCUGAAGAACCGUAAUGCCAUUAAUUUGGUGUUGCGGGGAAACUGGACUGUUACUUUGAAAAAAUUAGAGUGUUUAAAGCAAGCUAACGCUUGAAUACAUUAGGAUGGAAUAAUGAAAUAGGACGAUCGAUCCUAUUUUGUUGGUUUCUAGGAUUGACGUA